RNAcentral lists this ribosomal RNA (712 nucleotides) under uncultured beta proteobacterium. RNAcentral's name for it is "bacterial SSU rRNA". It matches the Rfam family "Bacterial small subunit ribosomal RNA", at positions 51 to 756 of the family's 1533-position model. Lineage: Bacteria; Pseudomonadati; Pseudomonadota; Betaproteobacteria. The record is from RNAcentral.
ACACAUGCAAGUCGAACGGCAGCACGGGUGCUUGCACCUGGUGGCGAGUGGCGAACGGGUGAGUAAUACAUCGGAACAUGUCCUGUAGUGGGGGAUAGCCCGGCGAAAGCCGGAUUAAUACCGCAUACGAUCUACGGAUGAAAGCGGGGGACCUUCGGGCCUCGCGCUAUAGGGUUGGCCGAUGGCUGAUUAGCUAGUUGGUGGGGUAAAGGCCUACCAAGGCGACGAUCAGUAGCUGGUCUGAGAGGACGACCAGCCACACUGGGACCGAGACACGGCCCAGACUCCUACGGGAGGCAGCAGUGGGGAAUUUUGGACAAUGGGCGAAAGCCUGAUCCAGCAAUGCCGCGUGUGUGAAGAAGGCCUUCGGGUUGUAAAGCACUUUUGUCCGGAAAGAAAUCCUUGGUUCUAAUAUAGCCGGGGGAUGACGGUACCGGAAGAAUAAGCACCGGCUAACUACGUGCCAGCAGCCGCGGUAAUACGUAGGGUGCGAGCGUUAAUCGGAAUUACUGGGCGUAAAGCGUGCGCAGGCGGUUUGCUAAGACCGAUGUGAAAUCCCCGGGCUCAACCUGGGAACUGCAUUGGUGACUGGCAGGCUAGAGUAUGGCAGAGGGGGGUAGAAUUCCACGUGUAGCAGUGAAAUGCGUAGAGAUGUGGAGGAAUACCGAUGGCGAAGGCAGCCCCCUGGGCCAAUACUGACGCUCAUGCACGA